RNAcentral lists this ribosomal RNA (716 nucleotides) under Klebsiella pneumoniae. RNAcentral's name for it is "bacterial SSU rRNA". It matches the Rfam family "Bacterial small subunit ribosomal RNA", at positions 56 to 764 of the family's 1533-position model. The record is from RNAcentral. Lineage: Bacteria; Pseudomonadati; Pseudomonadota; Gammaproteobacteria; Enterobacterales; Enterobacteriaceae.
UGCAGUCGAGCGGUAGCACAGAGAGCUUGCUCUCGGGUGACGAGCGGCGGACGGGUGAGUAAUGUCUGGGAAACUGCCUGAUGGAGGGGGAUAACUACUGGAAACGGUAGCUAAUACCGCAUAAUGUCGCAAGACCAAAGUGGGGGACCUUCGGGCCUCAUGCCAUCAGAUGUGCCCAGAUGGGAUUAGCUAGUAGGUGGGGUAACGGCUCACCUAGGCGACGAUCCCUAGCUGGUCUGAGAGGAUGACCAGCCACACUGGAACUGAGACACGGUCCAGACUCCUACGGGAGGCAGCAGUGGGGAAUAUUGCACAAUGGGCGCAAGCCUGAUGCAGCCAUGCCGCGUGUGUGAAGAAGGCCUUCGGGUUGUAAAGCACUUUCAGCGGGGAGGAAGGCGAUAAGGUUAAUAACCUUGUCGAUUGACGUUACCCGCAGAAGAAGCACCGGCUAACUCCGUGCCAGCAGCCGCGGUAAUACGGAGGGUGCAAGCGUUAAUCGGAAUUACUGGGCGUAAAGCGCACGCAGGCGGUCUGUCAAGUCGGAUGUGAAAUCCCCGGGCUCAACCUGGGAACUGCAUUCGAAACUGGCAGGCUAGAGUCUUGUAGAGGGGGGUAGAAUUCCAGGUGUAGCGGUGAAAUGCGUAGAGAUCUGGAGGAAUACCGGUGGCGAAGGCGGCCCCCUGGACAAAGACUGACGCUCAGGUGCGAAAGCGUGG